GACGAACGCUGGCGGCGUGCUUAACACAUGCAAGUCGAACGGAAAGGCCCUGCUUUUGUGGGGUGCUCGAGUGGCGAACGGGUGAGUAACACGUGAGUAACCUGCCCUUGACUUUGGGAUAACUUCAGGAAACUGGGGCUAAUACCGGAUAGGAGCUCCUGCUGCAUGGUGGGGGUUGGAAAGUUUCGGCGGUUGGGGAUGGACUCGCGGCUUAUCAGCUUGUUGGUGGGUAGUGGCUUACCAAGGCUUUGACGGGUAGCCGGCCUGAGAGGGUGACCGGCCACAUUGGGACUGAGAUACGGCCCAGACUCCUACGGUAGGCAGCAGUGGGGAAUAUUGCACAAUGGGCGGAAGCCUGAUGCAGCAACGCCGCGUGCGGGAUGACGGCCUUCGGGUUGUAAACCGCUUUCGCCUGUGACGAAGCGUGAGUGACGGUAAUGAGUAAAGAAGCACCGGCUAACUACGUG
RNAcentral lists this ribosomal RNA (467 nucleotides) under uncultured bacterium. RNAcentral describes it as "partial 16S ribosomal RNA". It matches the Rfam family "Bacterial small subunit ribosomal RNA", at positions 28 to 507 of the family's 1533-position model. The record is from RNAcentral.